This is a long non-coding RNA of Etheostoma cragini (Arkansas darter), 833 nucleotides long. RefSeq lists it as uncharacterized. The record is from RefSeq and is a predicted model, not a curated record. Lineage: Eukaryota; Metazoa; Chordata; Actinopteri; Perciformes; Percidae. The transcript is spliced from 3 exons.
UGUUUGCCAUCAAACCCCGGUUAGAUACCCCUGGCCUUCGUUCCUGGUUUCGUCUUCAGUAUCUGAAACAUUUAGGGGAAAUUAAUCAGUAAUUACAAUUAAUAUUGAUGGGUUUAAGGUUACAUAUUGUUUGUCUUUUAACUGAACUACACAUCUGGAUGACAGCAGUGUGUUGUCUUGCGCCUUCCCUAACAGGAAGUAGUUUGCACUAAGACUGACAUCUAUUGGUCUAUUUUUGAAAUAGGAUAGAGAUUCGAGUAUUGAAUGUGAUCCAGUUCCAUACAGUAGUCUUUACACUGGCUGAUUUAUUUAAAUGUAUUUGUCUUAAUGAUAACUUCAUCUAUUGGUAAUGUUUGUCUAUUUUUGACCAGUUACAUAGACUGUGUGGCAUUACAGUGUCCCAGCACCUUUUACAGUGUGAUCCCCUUACUUCUUUCAUUGUCCAGCAAUUCAAACCCCCUAUCAAUGUAACAAAUGUUACCUAAUCGCUGCUAACAACUCUCAUGUAUAAUGUAAAAACAGGGUCCGGCUGAAAUAAGACGCCGUUGUUGAAAGAUUAACGCUUCUAAUGUAGUCUGAUAAUUACAGAACAUGACUAAUUUAUUGUCGUUGUAGUCAUUUCUAUUUUCUGAGGGUGCUCUUACACAGAGUGCUUUUAAACUUAGGGUGUCAAACUCAACUUCACUAAGGGCCACACAUGUAUAGUUCAUUGACAUGCUCUUAUUUAACUGAAAAAGUCAAAUAUUUGGAAUGUAUUAUUGCGUGUCUCAUAUAGUCUUCUCACAUACAAUUGGGUCAACAUAAAGCCCUAAAAAAGUGACCAAAGACGUUCC